GCGGGUGUAGUUCAAUGGUAGAACUCCAGCCUUCCAAGCUGGAUGCGGGGGUUCGAUUCCCAUCACCCGCUCCA
This 74-nucleotide transfer RNA is filed under the name Deltaproteobacteria bacterium. RNAcentral describes it as "tRNA-Gly". It matches the Rfam family "tRNA". From Rfam's summary of the family: Transfer RNA (tRNA) molecules are approximately 80 nucleotides in length. Their secondary structure includes four short double-helical elements and three loops (D, anti-codon, and T loops). Lineage: Bacteria; Pseudomonadati; Myxococcota; Myxococcia. The record is from RNAcentral.